RNAcentral lists this ribosomal RNA (259 nucleotides) under uncultured bacterium. RNAcentral describes it as "partial 16S ribosomal RNA". It matches the Rfam family "Bacterial small subunit ribosomal RNA", at positions 97 to 354 of the family's 1533-position model. The record is from RNAcentral.
CGCGCACGGGUGAGUAACGCGUAUCCAACCUGCCCUUUACUAUGGGACAGCCCGUCGAAAGGCGGAUUAAUACCGUAUGUUGUCAUGUUGAUGCAUAUUUUCAUGACCAAAGGCUUCGGCCGGUAAAGGAUGGGGAUGCGUCUGAUUAGCUUGCCGGCGGGGUAACGGCCCACCGGGGCGACGAUCAGUAGGGGUUCUGAGAGGAAGGUCCCCCACAUUGGAACUGAGACACGGUCCAAACUCCUACGGAAGGCAGCAG